AUUGAACGCUGGCGGCAGGCUUAACACAUGCAAGUCGAGCGGAGCGAGGGUGCUUGCACCUUAGCAUAGCGGCGGACGGGUGAGUAAUGCUUAGGAAUCUGCCUAUUAGUGGGGGACAACAUCUCGAAAGGGAUGCUAAUACCGCAUACGUCCUACGGGAGAAAGCAGGGGAUCUUCGGACCCUGCGCUAAUAGAUGAGCCUAAGUCGGAUUAGCUAGUUGGUGGGGUAAAGGCCUACCAAGGCGACGAUCUGUAGCGGGUCUGAGAGGAUGAUCCGCCACACUGGGACUGAGACACGGCCCAGACUCCUACGGGAGGCAGCAGUGGGGAAUAUUGGACAAUGGGGGGGAACCCUGAUCCAGCCAUGCCGCGUGUGUGAAGAAGGCCUUAUGGUCGUAAAGCACUUUAAGCGAGGAGGAGGCUACUUUAGUUAAUACCUAGAGAUAGUGGACGUUACUCGCAGAAUAAGCACCGGCUAACUCUGUGCCAGCCGCCGCCGUAA
Molecule: ribosomal RNA, 502 nt
Filed under: uncultured bacterium
Lineage: Bacteria
Description: partial 16S ribosomal RNA
Rfam family: Bacterial small subunit ribosomal RNA
Source: RNAcentral